Molecule: long non-coding RNA, 1113 nt
Filed under: Solanum lycopersicum (tomato)
Lineage: Eukaryota; Viridiplantae; Streptophyta; Magnoliopsida; Solanales; Solanaceae
Description: long non-coding RNA (SLYC_LNC000481)
Source: RNAcentral
CAGCAUCUCCGCUUUCCUCAUCAAUGCUCAAACCGAGUUUCAACAUCCUGUGAAUUCUGUUGCCAAAGGUGUUUGGCUCCUCGAGGCUGAAACCUGAGGUGAGAAGGGCAGUCUCAAAAAGCAAGAGAACCAAGUCCUUCACAGACUUGUCAUUCUUGUCUGCAUCAGCCCUCUUCCUUAGCUCAUCCAUGAUGGAGUUCUCUGGGUUGAUCUCCAUGGUCUUCUUGCUAGACAUGUAUCCAGCCAUGCUGGAGUCCCUAAGUGCCUGUGCCUUCAUAAUUCUCUCCAUGUUAGCAGUCCAGCCAUACUCACCAGUGACCAAACAGCAGGGAGAGUCAACAACACGGUCAGAAACAAUGACCUUUUCAACUUUGUCUCCUAGCACAUCCUUCAUCACCUUACACAGUCCCUCAAACUUCUCCUUCAAUUCUUCCUGCUUUUUCUUCUCAUCUUCACUCUCAUCAAGCUUGAGGCCUUCCUUGGUAGCAGAAACAAGCUUUUUGCCCUCAAAUUCCUUCAGCUGACCAAUUGAAUACUCAUCAAUGGCAUCAACCAUGUAAAGCACCUCAUAUCCCUUCUUCUUCAGUUUCUCCAGGAAGGGAGAGUUCUCAACAGCCUUCUUGCUCUCACCAGUAAUGUAGUAAAUAUCAUUCUGGCCCUCCUUCAUUCUGGUCACAUAGUCCUUCAAGCUGGUCAUCUCAUCACCACUCUUAGUGGAGUGGUACCUCAGCAGUUCAGCAAACUUUGCCCUGUUCUGAGAAUCCUCAUGGAUUCCAAGCUUGAGGUUUUUAGAGAACGCCUCAUAGAACUUAUUGUAGUCCUCCUUGUUCUCAGCAAUUUCAAAGAAAAGCUCAACACACUUCUUCACCAAAUUCUUGCGAAUAACCUUUAGGAUCUUGUUCUGCUGCAAUGUCUCUCUGGAGAUGUUGAGAGGAAGGUCCUCAGAAUCCACAAUACCCUUCACAAAGCUCAAAUAUUCAGGAAUCAACUCAUCACAGUUAUCCAUGAUAAACACACGGCGAACAUACAACUUGAUGUUGUUGGGCUUCUUCUUUGUGUCAAAGAGGUCAAAAGGAGCCCUUUUUGGAACAAAAAGGACAGCCUUGAACUCCA